CGCACGGGUGAGUAACACGUAUCCAACCUGCCGUCUACUCUUGGACAGCCUUCUGAAAGGAAGAUUAAUACAAGAUGGCAUCAUGAGUCCGCAUGUUCACAUGAUUAAAGGUAUUCCGGUAGACGAUGGGGAUGCGUUCCAUUAGAUAGUAGGCGGGGUAACGGCCCACCAAGGCAUCGAUGGAUAGGGGUUCUGAGAGGAAGGUCCCCCACAUUGGAACUGAGACACGGUCCAAACUCCUACGGAAGGCAGCAG
This 255-nucleotide ribosomal RNA is filed under the name uncultured bacterium. RNAcentral describes it as "partial 16S ribosomal RNA". It matches the Rfam family "Bacterial small subunit ribosomal RNA", at positions 99 to 354 of the family's 1533-position model. The record is from RNAcentral.